This 767-nucleotide long non-coding RNA is filed under the name Sorghum bicolor (sorghum). RNAcentral describes it as "long non-coding RNA (SBIC_LNC007582)". Lineage: Eukaryota; Viridiplantae; Streptophyta; Magnoliopsida; Poales; Poaceae. The record is from RNAcentral.
CCGGUUUUACUAAUUGCAUAGUGCCAUAGUAACAAGCUAGGUAUUUUUUUUUGGGUGCAAUGCUAUCGUACAAUCUUUACUUGUUAGGAGGCAAUACAUCACAUAAAUCUGAACCAUUGAUUCUUUAACUUUUUUUUAAUUAAUUAAUUAAUCUAGGAAAAGGGGAAAACAUUGUCAAAUCCUAUUGUCACAAAAUGAGAAUUUGGAUAACGGCACCUUACUCCACGAUAGUGCGGAUCAGGCGCAAGGCCACGCGGAUCUCUUCCUCCACGGCGGAUCAACCAUCUUCGCCCUCUCUCCCUCCCAUUCUCCGGCAGAUCCGAUGAAUAACGGCUGUGGAGGGCGCGCCGGCAAUGGAGGCAGCAAUCCUUGGAGAGGAGGCGGUUCCAGUGGGGGUCAUACUAGAUCCGGCUCGAUAUGCACCACCUCCACCAGAUCCGGCUGUAGGGGCUCGAUCGAGAGCACAUGCAGGUGCGGAUCCGCCGGCGGCGACGUGUCCUAUGCCGGAGUGGUGGUGGAUUCAGGAUGGCGGCGGCGUGGCUAGGCUCAACAUCGGGCCCGUAUGGGCUGGUGUUGGGCUCAACUGUUUUAUUUUUUAUUAUUUUAAUUUAAUUUAUAGAGGCAGACAAAGCAACCGCCUUUGUAUGUCAUGGAUUAACCGUGACCUUUGAUUAGAGGCAGUUGGAUUGCCUGCCUCCAUUAAUUGUUUUUAUCCGCCUCUAAUAAGAUUUUUGUAGUAGUGUUAAUCAUAUCAUAUUAGUGGCUAG